AUUUGUCUUCUAACCUACAAUAAUUGAAAUAGUUUGAGAACAAAUAUUUUAAGGAAUAAAAAUGAAAUUAACUCAAAUUUUAUUCCGUCGGAAUCGUCUACCAAAUGGUCAUAUUUUUCGAGGAAAAGACCGUUUGGUUAAAAAAGUUGAGCCAAAACAUCUUCGUGCUUUAAACACUGAUUUUGCAGUUGAAGAGCAGAAUAUGUUUUAUUUACGUCAUCCAUACCUGACCGAGGCCGAAAGUCACGGACACUCAAAAGCUCUAGGCAAACAAGAACAAAGGAAAAAAUCAUUUGAAAAUAUCACAAAAAGAAUCUUUAAAGAGGAUGUAACUCUUUAUGAACGACUAAAACAUCUAAGGGUUAAAGAAAGCUGGGACAAUUAAUAUAUAACAAAAACAAAAUAAAAGUGCUUGGUUAGAUUAAAAUGUUAGAUUACAUAAGUUAAUAAACCAUUGUAGUUAA
Molecule: long non-coding RNA, 464 nt
Organism: Nymphalis io (European peacock)
Lineage: Eukaryota; Metazoa; Arthropoda; Insecta; Lepidoptera; Nymphalidae
Exons: 2
Source: RefSeq, a predicted model, not a curated record